AGUGAACGCCGGCGGCAGGCCUAACACAUGCAAGUCGAGCGGCAGCGCGGGGGCAACCCUGGCGGCGAGCGGCGGACGGGUGAGGAAUGCAUCGGAAUCUACCUCGUUGUGGGGGGAUAACGUAGGGAAACUUACGCUAAUACCGCAUGAGACCGAGAGGUGAAAGUGGGGGACCCGCGAGGGCCUCACGCGAUGAGAUGAGCCGAUGCCGGAUUAGCUAGUUGGCGGGGUAAAGGCCCACCAAGGCGACGAUCCGUAGCUGGUCUGAGAGGAUGAUCAGCCACACUGGAACUGAGACACGGUCCAGACUCCUACGGGAGGCAGCAGUGGGGAAUAUUGGACAAUGGGCGCAAGCCUGAUCCAGCCAUGCCGCGUGUGUGAAGAAGGCCUACGGGUUGUAAAGCACUUUUGUUGGGGAAGAAAACCUGCCGGUUAAUACCUGGCGGGAAUGACGGUACCCAAGAAUAAGCAACCGGCUAACUUACGUGCCAGCAGCCGCGGUAAU
Molecule: ribosomal RNA, 505 nt
Filed under: uncultured bacterium
Lineage: Bacteria
Description: bacterial SSU rRNA
Rfam family: Bacterial small subunit ribosomal RNA
Source: RNAcentral